AACGAACGCUGGCGGCAUGCCUAACACAUGCAAGUCGAACGAAGCCUUCGGGCUUAGUGGCGCACGGGUGCGUAACGCGUGGGAAUCUGCCCUUGGGUUCGGAAUAACAGUUAGAAAUGACUGCUAAUACCGGAUGAUGUCUUCGGACCAAAAAUCUAUCGCCCAAGGAUGAGCCCGCGUAGGAUUAGGUAGUUGGUGGGGUAAUGGCCCACCAAGCCGACGAUCCUUAGCUGGUCUGAGAGGAUGAUCAGCCACACUGGGACUGAGACACGGCCCAGACUCCUACGGGAGGCAGCAGUGGGGAAUAUUGGACAAUGGGCGAAAGCCUGAUCCAGCAAUGCCGCGUGAGUGAUGAAGGCCUUAGGGUUGUAAAGCUCUUUUACCAGGGAUGAUAAUGACAGUACCUGGAGAAUAAGCUCCGGCUAACUCCGUGCCAGCAGCCGCAGUAA
This 449-nucleotide ribosomal RNA is filed under the name uncultured bacterium. RNAcentral describes it as "partial 16S ribosomal RNA". It matches the Rfam family "Bacterial small subunit ribosomal RNA", at positions 29 to 523 of the family's 1533-position model. The record is from RNAcentral.